CAGUCGCCACGGGAAUACCGAGGGUGCAAGCGUUAAUCGGAAUUACUGGGCGUAAAGCGCGCGUAGGUGGUUUGUUAAGUUGGAUGUGAAAUCCCCGGGCUCAACCUGGGAACUGCAUUCAAAACUGACUGACUAGAGUAUGGUAGAGGGUGGUGGAAUUUCCUGUGUAGCGGUGAAAUGCGUAGAUAUAGGAAGGAACACCAGUGGCGAAGGCGACCACCUGGACUAAUACUGACACUGAGGUGCGAAAGCGUGGGGAGCAAACAGGAUUAGAUACCCGCGUAGUCCCUGUCUCUUAUAC
This 301-nucleotide ribosomal RNA is filed under the name uncultured bacterium. Its description in RNAcentral is "partial 16S ribosomal RNA". It matches the Rfam family "Bacterial small subunit ribosomal RNA", at positions 509 to 807 of the family's 1533-position model. The record is from RNAcentral.